Long non-coding RNA from Sphaeramia orbicularis (orbiculate cardinalfish), 310 nucleotides. RefSeq lists it as uncharacterized. The transcript is spliced from 3 exons. The record is from RefSeq and is a predicted model, not a curated record. Lineage: Eukaryota; Metazoa; Chordata; Actinopteri; Kurtiformes; Apogonidae.
ACAGUUGUGAGUCUGUCCACUGGCGUCCAGGGGAGGAGAGAAUAGGAGACAAAUACGAUUCAAAGAGAGCAGGAAGUAGAUGUGAACAGUGGAAUCAUCCUACCUGCUCAGAGGUGGUGUGGUGGGAUGGAGAAGUGAGGAGAGUCAAAGGGGUCCUGGGGUGGUCCAGGGGGGUGGGGGUCCGAGUCCGGGCAGGGUGGGGGUCCGAGUCCGGGCUAGAGGGUGGUCCAGGAGGAAAGGAGGAAGGAUGGAGUGACAAGGAGCAGGGAGACGGGGACGCUGAAGGGAAGAAGAAGAAGAACAAACGCUG